CACCCUCCAACAUAACUAAGUAUAUUGCCCAAAGACUUUUAGAUGCUCCGUUGUAUUUCAUUCGAGCGCCUCUUCCAAAUGAAAGGAUAGUCCUUCCUUACCCUCCCCCUCCGGGUUUGGUAGAUCCCCAAGGGGGUCGUCGCAUAGUGUUUUUCUUGAAGCAGAGAGAAUUCGGUCUACCGUUUCCUUUUACCCCUUUCUUUAUCGAGGUCUUUGAAUACUUCGGGGUAACUCCUCGGAUGUUAUCCCCAAAUUCCAUUUUGUUCAUGUCCUGUUUUGAGUCUAUCUGCCUGAGUUGGGGUUUUACACCCACGGCCUGUCUGUUUGUCACUUUUUUCCGUCUGGUUAGGG
RNAcentral lists this long non-coding RNA (351 nucleotides) under Manihot esculenta (cassava). RNAcentral describes it as "long non-coding RNA (MESC_LNC010559)". The record is from RNAcentral. Lineage: Eukaryota; Viridiplantae; Streptophyta; Magnoliopsida; Malpighiales; Euphorbiaceae.